Molecule: long non-coding RNA, 343 nt
Organism: Magnolia sinica
Lineage: Eukaryota; Viridiplantae; Streptophyta; Magnoliopsida; Magnoliales; Magnoliaceae
Exons: 2
Source: RefSeq, a predicted model, not a curated record
AUGGAAUAUACGAAGCUGUUGCAGGAACUGACUUUGUCAUUAUUAGAGUUGCAUUUCAAGACAACUCUUCAAAGUACUACAUAAAUGACCAUGAGAGUAAUUUUACAGAGGUCACUAAGAAAUUGAAAGGAAAAGAGUGGACUUGGACAACAAUCGAUUUUUGAUUCUUCAGGGUGAAGUCGAGCAAAUUUCUCUAAUGAAGCCAAAUAUUUGUAUUUUCAGCAUUAUUGUAAUUGUAAUUGUAAUUGAUUGAAUGAAGGAUUGUAAUUGAUUGUAAGGAUUGUAAUUGAUUGUAAUUGUAAUUGAUUGAAUGAAGGAUUGUAAUUGAUUGUAAUUGAAUGAA